ACCGUGGUAUUCUAGAGCUAAUACAUGCUAAAAACCUCAACUUCGGAAGGGGUGUAUUUAUUAGAUAAAAAACCAGCGCCCUUCGGGGCUCCUUGGUGAUUCAUAAUAACUAAACGAAUCGCAUGGCCUUGCGCCGGCGAUGGUUCAUUCAAAUUUCUGCCCUAUCAACUUUCGAUGGUAGGAUAGUGGCCUACCAUGGUAUCAACGGGUAACGGGGAAUUAGGGUUCUAUUCCGGAGAGGGAGCCUGAGAAACGGCUACCACAUCCAAGGAAGGCAGCAGGCGCGCAAAUUACCCAAUCCCGACACGGGGAGGUAGUGACAAUAAAUACUGAUACAGGGCUCUUUCGGGUCUUGUAAUUGGAAUGAGUACAAUUUAAAUCCCUUAACGAGGAACAAUUGGAGGGCAAGUCUGGUGCCAGCAGCCGCGGUAAUUCCAGCUCCAAUAGCGUAUAUUAAAGUUGUUGCAGUUAAAAAGCUCGUAGUUGAACCUUGGGCCUGGCUGGCCGGUCCGCCUCACCGCGUGUACUGGUCCGGCCGGGCCUUUCCUUCUGGGGAGCCGCAUGCCCUUCACUGGGCGUGUCGGGGAACCAGGACUUUUACUUUGAAAAAAUUAGAGUGUUCAAAGCAGGCCUUUGCUCGAAUACAUUAGCAUGGAAUAAUAGAAUAGGACGUGCGGUUCUAUUUUGUUGGUUUCUAGGACCGCCGUAAUGAUUAAUAGGGAUAGUCGGGGGCAUCAGUAUUCAAUUGUCAGAGGUGAAAUUCUUGGAUUUAUUGAAGACUAACUACUGCGAAAGCAUUUGCCAAGGAUGUUUUCAUUAAUCAGUGAACGAAAGUUAGGGGAUCGAAGACGAUCAGAUACCGUCGUAGU
RNAcentral lists this ribosomal RNA (869 nucleotides) under fungal endophyte. RNAcentral's name for it is "SSU rRNA". It matches the Rfam family "Eukaryotic small subunit ribosomal RNA", at positions 146 to 1024 of the family's 1831-position model. Lineage: Eukaryota; Fungi. The record is from RNAcentral.